This 399-nucleotide ribosomal RNA is filed under the name uncultured bacterium. RNAcentral describes it as "bacterial SSU rRNA". It matches the Rfam family "Bacterial small subunit ribosomal RNA", at positions 975 to 1375 of the family's 1533-position model. The record is from RNAcentral.
CUACUCUUGACAUCCUGCGAACUUGGUAGAGAUACCUUGGUGCCUUCGGGAACGCAGAGACAGGUGCUGCAUGGCUGUCGUCAGCUCGUGUUGUGAAAUGUUGGGUUAAGUCCCGUAACGAGCGCAACCCUUGUCCUUAGUUGCCAUCAUUUAGUUGGGGACUCUAAGGAGACUGCCGGUGACAAACCGGAGGAAGGCGGGGACGACGUCAAGUCAUCAUGGCCCUUACGAGUAGGGCUACACACGUGCUACAAUGGCAAGUACAGAGGGCCGCGAAGCCGCGAGGUGGAGCUAAUCUCACAAAGCUUGUCGUAGUCCGGAUUGGAGUCUGCAACUCGACUCCAUGAAGUCGGAAUCGCUAGUAAUCGCAAAUCAGAAUGUUGCGGUGAAUACGUUCCC